Dunckerocampus dactyliophorus (ringed pipefish) is the source of this 9028-nucleotide RNA transcript. It is a transcript of the gene named zinc finger protein 135-like, with no coding region annotated. The record is from RefSeq and is a predicted model, not a curated record. The transcript has 5 exons. NCBI's taxonomy places the organism in Eukaryota, Metazoa, Chordata, Actinopteri, Syngnathiformes, Syngnathidae.
CAACACGACUUGCGCGAGUUCAGGUAGUAGCCAUCUUUCUUUAUUGCUUCAUCGCGUGCGCUUGUUCAACAUUACGCAACUGUACUGCGCACACUACGGCAGCUGAGAAGGGACAUUACGGAAUCACCACUUCCUGCACACAACACACAGUAAAUUACAGUAUCGACAUCUCAGUAUCCAUCCGCAUAUCACCAGUGGCUUUCUGGAGAUCCCGAGAGACGUUUCAACUUACGAUAAAACUAUUAUAUCGAUUCACAGCAAAUAUAGCAACGAGUACCUCAGUCAUCUGUUUUUCUAAGGCCCAAAAACGGAAGUUGAGUUUGCAGCAUUGAAGUGCUAUCUAAAGAGAACACUGAAAAUGGUGAAGAUGGACCACUGCUAUGCUAAGAUGGCGACGUCCAGUCAAAGAGAAGGUGGAAGAGAAUCAGCGCCACAAACUCCCAGCACAUCAUCAACGGAGAAAAAGCCCCGAGCUGCAGAUAACGCUCCAACAUUCAACGUCCCGACUCUCAGUCCCAUACUCUUGGUGUUCCUCUUCUCUCUCUUCCUACGGACACACUUUGCUCCUCUCCUUCUUCGACCAACAGUAGUCCAAUUUAGUAGGUCGACAGCACCGAUGGCGAUGGUUGUUAACCCGGGCCUCGACCGAUCCGACAUCCAGAAACGCGCCACUCAGCUUCAGAGAGGGAGCUCCGCUUUGAAGCAGGGGUACUCCCAGCGUCCCCGCAUUAAAGAGGAAGAGAAGGAACUCUGGAACACUCAGGAUAUGGGAGAUCUUCUAAGGCCGGAAGAGACUGAAGACCAUGAAGACAAACCACCCGAGUCAUCAUGUUGGUUGUGUCCUUCAGAUGACCAGCAGCUGAUUGGUCAUCAAGAAGAACGUCCCACUCUGCUGCAGGGGGGGAGCUCCACUUUGAAGCGAGAAGAUCCACAGCUCCCUCAUGUUAAAGAGGAAGAGGAGGAACUCUGGAUCACUCAGGAGGGAGAGUGUCUCCCAGGGCCAAAGUUGCCACUGAUCGUUGUCUCUGUGAAGACUGAAGAUCAUGAAGACAAACCACUUGACUUCUCACAGCUUCAUCACUGUCCAAGUGAGGAGAACAGAGAGGUGGAGCCUCCAAGCAGCAGAUCACCACAACACAUGACAACAGAAGCUGAUGGAGACCACUGUGGAGGAUCACAAGCAGACAAGCGCUUCGCUCCACUAUCAGAUAGUGAUGACACAACAUCACACUCUCCUGAAGAUGAAGACGGGGACGACACCCAAGAAUCUUUGAGCAGUGAUACAGACUGUGAAGUUGAUAGGAGGACUCACACUGACAACAAACACUCUGAAUGCUCUCAAAAGAAGACAGACAUCCAGCAGCACCCCCAUGUUAAAGAGGAAGAGGAGGAGUCACAGCCCCCCCAUGUUAAAGAGGAAGAGGAGGAACUCUGGUCCCCUCAGGAGGAGUGUUUUCUAGGGCCGGAGGGGGCUGAUCUCACCAAGUUGCCACUGACUGUUGUCUCUGUGAAAAUUGAAGACCAUAAAGUCCAACCACCUGAGUCCUUACCUUCUUUGUGUCCUUCAGACGUACAGCAGCUGAUUGGUCAUGAAGAAGAGAGUCUCCCUAAGCCGCAAGGGGGGAGCUCCACUUUGAUGGAAGAGGAUCCACAGCCUCACCGCUUUAAAGAGGAACAGGAAGAACUCUGGACCACUCAGGAGGGAAAGUGUUUUCUAGGCCUGGAGGAGGCUGACCUCACCCAGUUGCCCCUGACUGUUGUCUCUGUGAAGACUGAAGAUGAAGAGCAGAGGCAAGCAGACAAGCUCUUAGCUCCACUAUCAGAUAGUGACCACACAACAUCAGGCUCUCAUGGGGACGAAGACAGGGACAACACCCAAGAGCCUUUGUGCAGAGAUACAGAUUGGGAAGGUGAUAUAAGGACUCACACUGACAACAAACACUCUGAAACAGGUAAAAAUGUGUCGCUAAAAGAUUUUAAAUGUAGUGACUCGACAGACGUCCAGAAGCUGAUUGGUCGUGAAGAAGAGUGUCCCCUUCAGCAGAAGGAUGGGUGCUCCACUUUAAUGCAGGAGGAUCCACAGCUCCCCCAUGUUAAAGUGGAACUGGAGGAGCUCUGGACCAGUCAGGAGGCAGUGUGUCAUCUAGGUGUGACCUGCUCAGUUUGUGCCAAAAGGUUUUCUGAUGAUUAUAAUUUGACUGAACACAUGCAGACACACACAGGAAAAAAAUCUUUUGAUUGUCCAGUUUGUGGUCAAAGAUGCUCUCACAAGGCAACUUUGAAGGUACACACAAGAACGCACACAGGAGAAAAACCUUUCAGUUGUUCAGUUUGUGAUAAAAAAUUCCAUCGAAGUACAAAUCUGGCAUCACACAUGAGAAUGCACACCGGAGAAAAACGUUUUAAUUGCUCAGUUUGUGGGGAAAGCUUUACCAGCAAGAACAGUUUGACAUAUCACAUGCCGAAACACACAGGAGAAAAACCCUUUGGUUGUUCAGUUUGUGCUAAAAGAUUCUCUCUAAGUGCACACAUGGUCUCACAUAUGAGGAUACAUACAGGAGAAAAACCUUUUAGUUGUUCUGUUUGUUGUAAAAAAUUUGCUCGAAACACGGCUGUGGUAUUACACAUGAGAACGCACACAGGUGAAAAACCUUUCAGUUGUUCUGUUUGUGAUAAAAGAUUCUCUGAGAAAGGACAUAUGUUAAGACACAUGAGAAGGCACACGGGUGAAAAACCAUUUUGUUGUUCGGUGUGUAGUGAAAGCUUUUCCAACGGGUCUAGUUUAAAGUAUCACACGGCGAAACACACAGGAGAGAAACCCUUUAGUUGUUCAAUUUGUCGUAAAGCAUUUGCUAUUAAGGGGCAUAUGAUUAAACACGAAAGGACACACAAUCGUGAAAAACCUUUUAGAUGUUCAGUGUGUGGUAAAAGCUAUUCUCACAAGUCAUCUUUGGUAAAACACAGGAGAACACACACAGGAGAAAAACCUUUCAGUUGCUCAGUUUGUGAGAAAAGAUUCCUUGUCAGUACAGGUCUGGCAUUACACAUGCGAAGGCAUACUGGAGAAAAACCUUUUACUUGCUCUGUUUGUAGCGAAAGCUUUUCCUACAAGUACAGUUUGACGUAUCACAUGCGGAAACACACGGGAGAAAAACCUUUUAGAUGCUCAGUUUGUGAGGAAAGUUUUUCUCAUAAGACAAGUUUGAAAGUUCACAUGCGGACACACAAUGGAGAAUAAUCUGGCCUGUAUGUGAUAAAGGAUUGCCAAAUCAUACAGGUGCAAUGACAAAGGUGAAAAAACACAUAGAAAAGUAUAUCCCUCAUGUGCUAGAGUGCUAAAAUGGCAACAAAACAACCUUAACUGGUUCAAAACUACAUUGUUUUUCUUAUCUUCUUUAAUUUAGUGCGCUGCUAAAAAGUGGAACUGCACAACUUUGGUUGAGGGCAAUAUGCAUAGUGGCGUCCGUUUUCCUGACUUUCCUUCUUUUGGUUCACAUAAGUGUACAUGAUCGGGCUGCCGUUGUUGUGGAGGGAUUAUCCACAACAUAGCAAUGUGCGUGUAUGAUUUUUUUUUUUUUCCCCAUGGGGCCUACAAUUCUGGCCACAUCCCUGUCAAUGAUAAUGAAAUUGUGUUUGCGUCCUGACAAUGGCCGACCAUACAGUGUAAGUCACAUGGUCUCCUCUAACAUAACAAUGCUUCCAUCUACUUUAAUACAGAGACAUGAACUGCCUUGUGACGCAAAUGAGAUUAUGGAGACAAUGACUGCUCUUUUUUGGGACAAUACUAAUUUUAGUAUAUCCAUCUAUUUUUAUUAUAUUUCUUUGUAAAUACGUGUGCAUGUGUGUGUGUAUAUAUACUAUACUAUCACCUUCUGCUGUAACCUUUUUAAAGACAUUUUUUCUGACUCCACUAGCAACUAACAACUGGAUAACAGGAAAUGGAAUGAAUUUUUAUGUCCCUGGCAUAAAGUACAGUAUGUUUAGUAUAAAGAUGCCUCAGUCACUACUGGUGAUAGUACAGUCGGAGUCUAUAUUGUAUCACGAAUCAGUUUUGUAAUGCAUGACGAUAUAUGCACAUGGAUAGGCCUGUCACGAUCAUCGAUAAAUUGAACCAUCAAUAAAAUUGAUGAUGUGGCAGCCAGAAAUUCCACCAACUGGGAACCGGAUUUGGAUUUGAAAAACGUGACCUGAUCAACUCUCAGUCUAUACAACAGAAAUGGCAUCCAUGCACAGUGGAUGGGAGAAGUAACACCAGAUACUGUAUGUUGUGUACAGUGGCGGUUGUGGCUUUAAUGGUGCGCUGUGCGAGACCCCCCCUUUUGGCAUCCCUCAAAUGUAACGUUUGUGGGAUCUUGUCCCUUUGCCCAAAUGGUUCCAUCAUCUGCAUAUAGAACCCAAAUAUAAAGGAAGAAGAUGAUGUGAAUGGAUGUGCAUGGCAUUACCUCUAUCCAUGUAGAGCAUUAAUAUGGUUUAUUUUUAUGAUGGCCUGAACAAUAUACUGGAUGUGCUGAGCUUAAAAAACUGGUAUAUCUGUUGUUAGGAGUGCAAUAUUUUUCACUCUGUUUUAGAUAAGCACUAACAUGUUGCCGUACUUAUCUACCACAGAGAUAUGAAACACGAUCGCAAGCCCUUUCACUUGGAAAAAACACACUGGUAUAUCGCACACACACACACACACACACACACAGAGUUUCUAGAUAAGCCACCUUUUUAUCUCUGUCUGAGGAGAGCUUAGCUGUCCAAACCAAGACUGGCUGGAACCAGUUUAAAAUAAAAAAAAUUGAAGUUUUCACUCAUUCCACCACCUCUCUGAUAGUAGUCAUAAAAGAAAGAGGAACACGGUUCCUCUUUGGACUGCGCUAAACCUUUGUUGGCAGUAGGGAUGAAGAUCUUGUGAGAUUAAAAUGUGACAAGAUUUCUCGUUCACAAAAAAAAUGUCUCAUGGUCGCUAGGCCUGGGACAGUAAUAAAUGAAUUAAUUAAUCACACAAUAAAUGAAAAUGGACUUGAUAAUUUUGCCGGCCUUAAUAUAUUGCUAUGAACAUGCGUGUCUCUUUUCCCUGGUCUCUCUUUUCCAAACAGGUAGGAGGGGGAUUCACUCAGUGCAUUGGUUUUAGCACCUUGGCGCGUUUGUUCCAUAGAACAACGGCAUGAAUGGAGUGAGCCCUUUUAUCAGUCAUACAGUUUCUUUGCCUUGGUAGGUGGAGGCGGGGCUUCUAGCAUACACAUAGAGUGCAGAAAAGUGUAAAAUAGUAGAAAUUAAAUUAAUAGAUUGCAAUAUAUUGUCAUAUUUUUAUAUUUUAUCAUUGUGCAUUUAUGAAAAUCUCGUCUUGUCCUUAUACACCCAAUCUUGUGUGUCGUCUCAUCUCAUGAACUGAGUGUCUCUUGACACCCCGAAUUGGCAGGUAAACUCUCUGUCCAUCUUUGCCAUUGUAAUUGUUUCUAUCUACCCCUUUUUGAAUUUAAUUGUAAACUGUCCUGGAGACUCAUAGAUUUAUUUCACAGCUGUUAGAAUAAAAGAGCUUGAGUCCAGUAAAAAGGCUGUUCCAAACACUUAAAAUCAUUUGUUAAUAUAACAGCUUGACUAUUAGGCCAUACCUGUCCGUCUAUUUGAACAAAGGGGCAACAUUCUUACAUACUGUACCAGGAUAUGUGGUAGCCUAAGUUUAAAUUCGAGGGAAAGGUUUGUAGGGUUGUUGAAGGCAUUUCCAACAUGUGAUGGUAUGUAAAAACCACCAUGGAUGUGCAUUUUUACCACUUCAGUUAACAUUACUUGAAAAUCACCUACAAAAGGCUUAAAAUAAGCUCAUAUGCAAAAAGACAAAUAUUACAACACCCAUUUAUUACAACACCCAUUCAGACAGUCACACACACAGGCACGAUUGAAAAACUGUGUGGCUUGCCCUGGCCCAAAACCCUGCUACUGAUCGAUCAACUGUGUCUUGCUUAUCAAACCUGUACCUGGCUGAUUUCUACCUACAGUAUGCCAGCGCAUUUUUGGGUAACCCUAGCAAGUGCCUCACCAGAGAUGUACACACACACACAGUGGUGGGAAAAAGUGUUUCACCCUUCCUGAUUUCUAAUUGUAUUGCCUGUCACACUUAAAUGUUUCAGAUCAUUAAAAAUUUUAAAUACUAAUCAAUGGCAACACAACUGAACACAAAAUGCAGUUUUUAAAUGAAACGUUUUAUUAAGGGAGAAAAAAUCCAAACCUGCAUGGCCCUGUGUGAAAAAGUGAUUGCCCCCUAAACCAAAUAACUGGUUGGGCCCCCCUUAGCAGCAACAACUGCAAUCAAGCAUUUGGGAUAACUUGCAAUGAGUCUCUUACAGCGCUGUGGAGGAAUUUUGGCCCACUCAUCUUUGCAGAAUUGUUGUCAUUCAGCCACAUUGGAGGGUUUUCCAGCAUGAAGCGCCUUUUUAAGGUCAUGCCACAGCAUCUCAAUAGGAUUCAGGUCAGGAUUUUGACUAGGCCUCUCCAAAGUCUUCAUUUUCUUUUUCUUCAGCCACUCAGAGUUGGACUUGCUGGUGUGUUUUGGGUCAUUGUCCUGCUGCAGAACCCAAAUUGGUUUCAGCUUGAGGUCACCAACAGAUGGACAUUCUCCUUCAGGAUUUUUUGGUUGACAGCAGAAUUCAUGGUUCUAUUUAUCAAGGCAAGUCUUUCAGGUCUUGAAGCAGCAAAACAGCCCCAGACCAUCACACUACCGCCACCAUAUUUUACUGUUGGUAUUAUGUUCUUUUUCAGAAAUGCACUGUUGUUUUUACACCAGAUGUAAUGGGACACACACCUUCCAAAUAGUUUAACUUUUGUCUCGUCAGACCACAGAGUAUUUUCCCAAAGGUCUUGGGGAUCAUCAAGAUGUUUUCUGGCAAAAUUGAGACGAGUGCUAAUGUUCUUUUUGUUCAGCAGUGGUUUUCAUCUUGGAACUCUGCCAUGCAGGCUGUUUUUGCCCAGUGUCUUUCGCAUUGUGGAGUGAUGAACACGGACCAUAACUGAGGCAAGUGAGGCCUGCAGUUCUUAGGCUGUUGUUGUGGGGUCUUUUUUUCAACUCACCUCUUGGAUGAGUUGUUGCUGCACUCAUGGGGGUAAUUUUGGUUGGCCGGCCACUCCUGGGAAGGUUCACCAUUGUUGCAUGUUUUUGCCAUUUGUGGAUAAUGGCUCUCACUGUGGUUUGCUGGAGUCCCAAAGCUUUAGAAAUGGCUUUAUAACCUUUUCCAGACCGAUGGAUCUCAAUUAAUCAUCGACCAAUACGUAAAUUUGUUUGAUGAUCUGAAACACUUAAGUGUGACAAACAUGCAAAAAAAAAAAAGAAAAUCAGAAACGGGGCACACACUUUUUCACACCACUGUACAUAUAAAAUACAUAUGUAUUUUAUAUACACAGCAUAAAUCUAAAUUAGCUACAAUAGACUGCAAAAGCAACUUCUCCUCGACUACUUCUUGGAGUUGGAUCUACACUUGCAGAAAGGAGAGGUGCAAUUUUGUACUUGUAGUGGCUGUUGUUGUGACUGGCUGUCUUUCCAAUCUAUACAAACUGAAUGGUCUUUCUUUGCACAUGAAUUUGCUCCAACAUCUAGAAAAGCUGUGCGUAUAUGCGCCCUGCUAACAGUUAUGUCAUGUGUGUUAAAAAAAAAAAAAAAACGUCUCGAGGGACCGUCAGAGGCCAUUUAUGUCCACAAGAAGACAAAUGAAAGAUGCAGAAGAUUAAAUAAAUGUCAGGUUCAAACUCCUGUGACACUUGUAAAACACAGCAAAAUUACAGAAGAGACAAGACAACAAAUAUAGAUUUUUAUUCGCGAGGAGAACGGAGGAACGUACUAGAGUUACUUUCCCACACCGUUCUGAAUACGCUCUCCGAAAACCUCUCUUUAUUUUCUAUUGGGCGUUCCCUAGUUACAGGAGAGUUCAGCUUCUCAAGGAAGGGGCCUACUACAGCUGGACUCUGUGUCUUUGUUUGGCUAUGUGUGUGUGUGUGUGUGUGUGUGUGUGUGUGUGUGUUGUUAUCAUGCAUGUGUUUAAAUCACUUUUCUAACAUCACAGGGCAUGAACAGGAGUAGAAGAGUAGCAUGGCCUUGUGCAACUAAAAACUCCCCCACUUCUCUGAAACACACAAGACUGGUCUUUUGUUCUUCUCACGGGGCCUGCUUGCGCCUUUCUGUGCACAAGGGUACAGUAAUACAACAAGCAAUAGUAUUUCUAUAAAAUGGGUGAUAACUUAUAUACACGAAUAUACAUUUCUCUAACAAUAAGACAAUAUGUUUAAGUAUGUGGGUACAAUAAAAACCCACCAGUUUAAUUAGUGUCAGAAUGUUCUUGAAGAAGACACUUUUAAUAUGUGACAUGAUCCCUGGACAAGGACACCUCCUGGUGGACAAUAAAAAAACAUAAUUUUUGAAUUCACAAUUGGACACAGGUUUAUCUAAUACAACUUGGGUUGUUAUUUAUUUCAUGUUAUUUCGUUAAUGGAAAGUAAGUUAGACAGUAUGGCCCUAUUUUUUUAUGUACUCCGAUACAUUAGGUGGCGUUAUGCACCUUUACAGUCAUGGCUGCAACCAUUAUCCAAAAGAAGAAGAAUUAAAAGCGGAAGAAGAAGGCGGGCUGAACGACUGUAGCUGCCGACAGAAUUUUCAAAAAUACGACAAAGCAGUGAUAUAUACUCACAGCAAAUAUAUCAAUAAUAACCUAAGAGGCUCGUCUUUUGUAAAGCCCACGAAACGGAAGUUGAAUGUGGAGCAUUGGAGUGCUAUUUGAAGUGAAGAUUUGAAGACGUGACAGCAGACGAACCACUGCUAUGCUAAGAUGGCGACGUCCAGUCAAAGAGAAGGCGGAAGACAAUCAGCGCCACCAACUCCCAUCAAAUCAUCAAAGGAAAAGCCUGCAGAUCACGACUUCCAACAGCUGAUUGGUCAUCAUAAACAACGUCCCAAAGAGCCGCAGGGGGGAAGCACCAGAUUGAAGCAGGAGGCUCCACAGCCCCCUCAUGUUAAAGAGGAAGAGGGGGAACUCAAAGUCACACAUGAGGGAGAGUGUCU